This 662-nucleotide long non-coding RNA is filed under the name Daucus carota (carrot). RNAcentral describes it as "long non-coding RNA (DCAR_LNC001432)". Lineage: Eukaryota; Viridiplantae; Streptophyta; Magnoliopsida; Apiales; Apiaceae. The record is from RNAcentral.
AACAAUAUUCUGCUGAAGAAUGACUACAAGGAGUAACAGCUAGAACUUACAAGAAAAUUUGCUCCAGGUACAACAAUUUCUAACAUAUCUAACAGGAAGCAUCAACCACAUGAUGAUAAAUGAAUUAGAAGCAGAUAUCAUAUACAUAGAGAGAUUAUUAUGCAUUCCCUGCACCUUUUUGCUUUAGAAUAGCAAUCAAUAGAUGAAAUCAUGAUCCUAAGGUAGAUAAUUUAUUUAAUGCAUAGUAACUCCAAUCAAGUGUUUCCAUCAUUAAGUAUAAAUAUCUUUACAAUCAAAGUAAUCUAAUAAAACUCUAUGAACUUUGAUAAUUAUAAAUCAGGUGUUUCCAUCAUUAAGUAUGAAUAUCUUUACAAUCGAAGUCAUCCAAUAAAUCUCUAUGAACUUUGAUAAUUUAUAAAUCAGGUGGUCAGCACUUCCUUGUUCAAAGUGACUCCAUCUACUCAUGAAAACACCUUUCCCCUGUCAAACUUUUAUUCCAGUUAUUUCCAUCAAGAUUAUUCUCUAAUAAUUGUUGCUGUGAGUUAAAACUUGAGACCACAAGUCAACAAAUAAAUACAGCAAUCAUGAAAAUGCUUAAAUGCACAUACAUAAAAUAAUUAUGAUUCUUGACAACCGUAUCUAUCGUCAUCAAAACAAACCUU